RNAcentral lists this ribosomal RNA (433 nucleotides) under uncultured bacterium. RNAcentral describes it as "partial 16S ribosomal RNA". It matches the Rfam family "Bacterial small subunit ribosomal RNA", at positions 29 to 507 of the family's 1533-position model. The record is from RNAcentral.
AGCGAACGCUGGCGGCAGGCCUAACACAUGCAAGUCGAACGAACUCUUCGGAGUUAGUGGCGGACGGGUGAGUAACACGUGGUAAGUAACCUUUGGGUUAGCUACAAUUCAGGUAAAGUUGACUUAAUACCACUGGGGCCCUUAGGGGAAAGGAUGUCUGGCCAUAAGAGCGGCCCGGGUCAGAUUAGCCGGUUGGGGAUGUACCGGCUGACCAAGAGCACGAUCAUUGGCUGGUCGGAGAGGAUGACCAGCCCCACUGGGACUGAGACACGGCCCAGACUCGGACGGGAGGGAGCAGAGGGGAGUCUUGCGCAAUGGGCGAAAGCCUGACGCAGCCAUGCCGGGUGAAUGAUGAAGGUCUUAGGAUUGUAAAAUUCUUUCUGCGGGGACGAUAAUGACGGUACCCGGUGAAGAAGCCCCGGCUAACUUCGUG